GGGGGCGUCCAGGCUUCGACUACGGGAUUGCGUUGCAGAGCAAGCAGGCCGUGGGUGAUUGAAUGGCCACGUAAAAAAUCAAUCAACAGUCAGCUGCCAAUAACAGCGACUACGCUCCGGUUGCCCUGGCCGCUUAAGCGGUUGGCGCAGUAACGCCGGAUGCGGCCCCCUCCAAGCAUGAUAAAGGGGUGUCCGUAUAAUCUAUCAUGCUCAGCCCACCCCCGGUCCCCGGACGGGGCGGGUGAAUCUUUCCCGGGGCGGGUUCAGGUGAGGUGGCCAUGUCCGACACCCUGAACCGGGAUGAAAAUCAUGGCUAAGCCUGAAGAAAACUCUGUUUCCGCCUGAUAGGACGCGGGUUCGAUUCCCGCCGCCUCCACUG
Molecule: transfer-messenger RNA, 379 nt
Filed under: Deltaproteobacteria bacterium
Lineage: Bacteria; Pseudomonadati; Myxococcota; Myxococcia
Rfam family: transfer-messenger RNA
About the family: Bacterial tmRNA, also known as 10Sa RNA or SsrA, is named for its dual tRNA and mRNA-like properties. Its role is to liberate the mRNA from a stalled ribosome. To accomplish this part of the tmRNA is used as a reading frame that ends in a translation stop signal.
Source: RNAcentral